RNAcentral lists this non-coding RNA (104 nucleotides) under Janthinobacterium sp. RNAcentral describes it as "TPP sequence". It matches the Rfam family "TPP riboswitch aptamer (THI element)". From Rfam's summary of the family: Vitamin B(1) in its active form thiamin pyrophosphate (TPP) is an essential coenzyme that is synthesised by coupling of pyrimidine and thiazole moieties in bacteria. The previously detected thiamin-regulatory element, thi box was extended, resulting in a new, highly conserved RNA secondary structure, the THI element, which is widely distributed in eubacteria and also occurs in some archaea. Analysis of operon structures identified a large number of new candidate thiamin-regulated genes, mostly transporters, in various prokaryotic organisms. Lineage: Bacteria; Pseudomonadati; Pseudomonadota; Betaproteobacteria; Burkholderiales; Oxalobacteraceae. The record is from RNAcentral.
CGGCCACGCUAGGGGUCCUGAAGAGUUAAACGUCUUCGGGUGAGAAAAAACCCUCCGUACCUGACCUGGAUAAUGCCAGCGUAGGGAAGCGCAAAGUCCACGCA